CCUGCGGCUAUUUAAACAGAUACAGAAUGACCAAAUCUGGAGACACGUAUUUAAAAUAUUCCUUCUAUCUCCCCCUCCUUCUGUGAAAGAUAUCUGAAUGCAUUCGGCCCACAGCCUGUUAAAGUUUUUUUUUUUUUUUUUGAGGCGGCCAGACUUGGAACACUCAGGAAUACAGACAGACGUAGGAAUUGCUUAAAAACAAGAAGUUCUCCCACCCUUGUUGGAGCGAAUGCGCGAGUCUGACAGUGAACCUUUUGGGAAAGAGCCAGCAUUGUAACCGUGCUCGGUGACUUCUCUGGCUUUAUAGGGAACAGAUGUGAGGAUAGCAAGGGGCGCACACGUGAAAUGCCUGGCAGGUACCCCUUUGUGGCUCUACUUACUUCUUGCCAUUCCUCUGCCCUCCAAGUGUAGAGGGGACACCGUGGGCCUUGGCAGUCGCGUUCCGACUCCGGUCUGGUGUAUGGGUUGCACUCGGUCUCUCUGGCUAUUUUGUGUGUUCCGAUCUGACAGCCCACAUGCCUCUGCUGUACGCCUCGGCCACAGGACACAGAGCACUAAGAAGACAGAGAACAUUCACAGUCUGGUGAGACAAGUUUGAGAUCUCAUAUUUUCAGCUCAUCCUUGAAAACCUUUCUUCGAUUUGACUGACCUUGAUGGCUCCCUGGAAUCUCACCUACAUUUUAUGGGAAAUUCAACUCUCCAGAGAGAAGAGCUUUCAGAUAGCUGCGGGACUUGCAACUGUGACUUUCAGCUUUCGCUUUUGAAUGAGGCUCCAAAUGUCUCAAUGGUGGCACUAUUUCCAGAUUUGGGAGCCCUGCAAAGCUAAUCUGCUCAACCUUCACCUACUGGGUUCAAUGAAUAUGAAAAGCUGCCUUCCUGAAACUUUUCCUUCAAAGAGGGAAUGAUCUCCUGGAAUUCAAGCUUCUACAAGGUGGCUACCUGGUGUUUUCCACUUUUGCCGUCUCCUAAAAAGCAUCAUUCAAGCCUUGCCCUUUCAACCCACUGAACACAUAAACAUGCUUUCUCCUUAACUGAACUUAUGGCCACGAUGAACUUGAACUCUGAGAUUCACAGAGGAGAGUUUGUUUUAACAGCUGCUUUUACAAUGAAGCCCUGGAGUUACUACUCUCAAGACCCCUGGUUCUGAUAGGCCAUCUUUUCACUGUCCUCUGCAUUUUCUAAUGCCCAGCUGUCAAGGAACACCCACUGAAGUUUUCCAAAACAAAGGCACGAAACACAAGAAAGGCAAGAGAAUGCUAAUCACCAGAUGCAUGGGCAUCCUAUGGGGGAACCCCUUACAUGUGGAAUACGGUUUUUCUCCCCAAUUUAUUUUUAUAAAUUUAUUGAUUUCUUUGCUAGUUUGUUAUUAAUUGUUAGAGAUGUCCUGUUGCCUGAGGUUGCCCUGUCCGAUAUGGUAGCCACCAGCGACAGGUAGCUAUUUAGAGUAAUUUAAAAAUUACAUUAAAAAUGCAGUUUCCUUGUCACUUAACCAUGUUUCAAGUGCUCAGUAUUAACCACAUGUGACUAGUGGCUUCCAUAAAGGAAGGCAAAAAUAGAGAACAUUUACAUCGCUGCAGAAAGCUACUAGAUUUUUUUGGCCAAGGCAUAAGCUCUUUCUCAUAAGAGAAAGGGGAUGCAGAUCUUGCUAAGAGUGAUGGAUUUCUGGGUUCAGCCUACAUGAGUCAUCUUCCAUACUACCCCUGGACAUGCUUUCCUUGGCUGCCAAUUUUCUAUUUUAUAAAUUUCAGGAAAGAGAGAUUAUGGUUGUUAAAACCAUUCAUGACAAUGAUCCCACUUUAGAGAAAACAACAGCAACAAGCAAAGAAGAUGGUGUGGAGAUCCGCACAUUCCACAUCUUUUAAUUGGUACCCAUUAAAUAACAAAGGGAAAAAGUACCCUCAGACCACAACUCUCCACCUUGUGUGGAGGCCAAGGACCCAGCAGGGAGAAGGCAGAAGAUUAGGUUCUCCACUCAUCCUGGCUCUCAGACCACUGAACUCACAUUUGGGUUCUAAUGGAAUGGUGAUUGGAAGCAUAUUCUCCAAUAGGAGGUUUUUAAAAGUUCUGUGCCAUCAGCCAGGCAGCAUCUGUCAUUUAAAAUGACUGGCCAGUUGCACGUUUAAAAGCAAAGAUAAAAUUGCUAAUUUAUACUUACUGAAUAAACAUCAGCAGUAUCCAUGAAGGUACCUACCCUAAUAGCAAGUUGUAUUUUUAUUUUUAUGGUGGUGGCGAAGCUGCCAGGAAAACCAAAGCAUCAGUUCUUUAAUUACAUUUGUUUAGUAUUGAUUUAAUACUAAAAUUUCUCUUGCUCCCUUAGAACAAAGAGCUCUAACUUGUACACUGCUGUAUCCUUAGCACCUGGAACAGUCCCUGGCCUACAAUAGGCACUUAGAAAGUAUUUGUUAAAAAUUGAUUUUUUUUUUUUAAAGAAACAACCCAGAGUUUUUUUAUUCUGCCCCAACCCCCAACCCCUGGCAUUAAAAUAAAUCUUCCUCAACUGCCAUCACUAAUCGCCAGGAUUCCCUCCUAGCCAAUUAUGCUUGGACUCAACCUCUACCUCCCACUCCACAUUCCAAAGUUUCUAUUUCUUUCCAUUCCAGAAGGGCAACUCCACAACAGGAGUGAGGGAGAGGACCUGGACUCCUCCUCAGAGUCCAAUAACACUCCUAACCCUGCUCCCCCAACCUGUGGACUUUUUAAAUCCAUGAAAAUAGAACCUGUCAAGCUACCACAAAAUAGCAUCAGAAGGCAGGAUCAGUCUUUCAUAGGCAUACAAUCUCUGUAAAUACUGAAAAAAGAUUAUUAAAAGCCUGCUAAGUUUUGUCUCCAGUGAAAUAGAUGCAGGCAAGUAUUUUGAUUGUUCUGAACACAUUAGAGAUGAGUGCUACACAGAACUAAGGUAAACUUUGUAAAUUCGUAUGUCAUAACACUUUGUUCCACAAAAAACUAUCUUAUUUUUUAUACUCCAUACUGAUACAGCCAAAUAAUGUGGCUCUUAUUUUCUAAAGAUGCCAGCAAUAUGUUUAAACAUGUCUUCAUUGUAGUAAAAGUAUCAUAUUUAUAAAAAAUACAUAUGCAUUUAAUGUGAUAUUCCUUAUAGUCAAAAUCUUGAUAUCAUCCUGUUAAUCUGGCUAAAAAUGUAUCUGUAAAAUGAAAGAGAGGAAUAUUUUGCCAUUCCCUAAACAACAGUUGUUUGAAGCUUUUGUAAUUGCUGGUUAUGGGAAUUUACCAAUAACAGGAAUGAAUUUGGAUUUUCUUUUGCUGGAAUCAAAUGGACAAUGUCAUAAUUAGCUAAAUAAUGUUGAGGCUAAAUGAAGUUUGAGUUUUAGGCACAUCCUUUAUGGAAUAUAAACAGGAACCUAAAAGUUCAUUCUGAACAUAGGUUGUUUCUUUCUGCCAAAACAAGAUUAAUAGUCAGUACCCUAACGACAAGGUCCUAUCACUGAAGUAGAUUAUCGGCUAGUCAAAUGGGUUCCUAACAGCACCUCCCUCAUGGGUUAAAACAAGAGGGUUAAUGUGAUGUGUAUUUGCUUAAUUUGGCUUGUUAUACAGUAAACACACAGCAAACGUUAGCUAUUGUUAUCUUCAUUUCCUUUGGAGAAGUUAUCUUAUUUCUCACCUUAUUAAAAAUAAACCCUAACUCAUACAGGGACCCUCCUUACCUUGGUCCUUUCACCCAUGAAUACCAUAAUAACCUAUACUGCAAAAAGGAGGCUCAGGAGGAGGAUGAGGUAUCAAUAGGCCUCCGGGUCAUUUUUAUGAUUUAGGUAUUUUUUGAAAAGGGUAGGCUCUCUUGAAACUUCCAAGGUAGUUGUUGUAGUAUUUUAUUUUCCUUUCAUAAGAAAUGCUUUCUGAAAUGUAUUGCAGUGAACAAAUAACAAAAUUGACAAAUGCUGUAAGCCUUUUACAGUUAUCUGAACACACAGAAUAAAGUGUAAUCAAAUUUGUGCACAUUAGGUUUGCUUUUUCCUGUACCUAGCUGUCUCUUAUGUGUUCAGAACCAUUUCUUCCAAUCACCUUUUUUUGUCUUCUGGCUAUAAUUUAUCAUUAUCUACAAAUUCAAUAAAUGGAGCAUGCAUAUUUCAUAGUUGAGAUUCAAUAAUUCAGGACAACAGUACUAGAAAAGAAAAAAUACCCAACAAAAUAUUAAGCCUCAUAUAUUUUUGUUUAUAAAUCUAAGCAUCAUUUCCAACUCAGAAAUAUGUUUUUAAAGUAUCCCUUUAAAAUACAUACUUGAAGCUGUCUAAUUACACAAAGCUAGAUACUUGGCUACUCAGAUUUGAGGGAGGGGUUGUACAGGUUGGAGGGAAUUUACAAAAUUAAAAUGUAUCUUUUUAAAACCAAAAGAAACAUAUACAUUCAUUUCUAAUCCACAGAGCCUACUUGCCUUUACAGUCUGCUGAUAAACACUGAUUUUUUAAACAUUGUAUAUAAAAUUAAAUAACAUGAAAAAAUAAAUAUGCUUUAUUAUAUAACACAUAGAAAUCUGUACUGCUCAAAAUAUUCAGAAAAUUCUAGGUGUGGCUGCUUAAAACUGUGUUUAGAAAAUAUGGUAGUGAUAUUUACAAUCUUUAUUUCUUCUAGGGAGAGAAGCAGUGAGGUUAUAAAAUACUGGUAUCAAACAUUUUCUCUUCCUACCUACAGAAGCUGCAAACUUUAAUACGAAAAUGAGGUAGACAAAAAUUCAUAAGUUAGCCAGGCAGAAACAAAAGCACAAUUCCUUCAUGAGCUCAUAAAUUCUCAUUACUUGGGUCGACAAGCAUUAUUCCAAUGCACCUAAAGCAAGGCUCAGAGAACAUUUUUAGGUUUGUCAUGAAAAACCCGAACAAGCAAUUUCUCCUAAGGAGAAGCACAGUUUCCAAGGUGAUCAGCAAGCAGGUUGACAGGGCAAUGCACAAAGGAACACCGAAGACCCAUCUUGGAUACAUGGUAUCACCUAGCAGACUUUUAAUCUGUGAUUAUCUAGAUGAAUUAGCUUUCUCUAGAACGCUCUGGAUUUUUAGCCUACUUUCUGCUGUGGUUCGAUAGUAUAGAGGUCUCUUUCCAAUUUACUCCUCAAGUCAUAGGACAUAUGCAUAGACUACUUAAUGUCCUCCUGGGACUGACUGCAGGAGUCAACUGAAAGGCAUGUGAGUUUAAGAACCUUAUUUCAGGCUGGGCAUGGUGGCUCAUGUCUGUAAUCUCAGAACUUUGUGAGGCCAAGGCAGCGGAUCACCUGAAGUCAUGAGUUUGAAACCAGCCUGGCCAACAUGGCGAAACCCCGUCUCUACUAAAAAUACAAAAAUUAGCCAGGUGUGGUGGUGGGCACCUAUAAUCCCGGCUACUUGGGAGGCUGAGGCAUGAGAAUCACUUGAACCCGGGAGGAGGAGGUUGCAGUGAGCCGAGAUCGCACCACUGCACUCCAGCCUGGGCAACAGAGCAACACUCUGUCUCAAAAAAAAAAAGGAACCUUAUUUCAAAAACAAACACUACCAAAAAAAGAGUCCAAAGGCCCAUUUUAAAAAGGAUAGAAAAGGUUGAAUUUCUGGAGGAUAUUUCUCACCAUCAUGAUUCUUAAAUCCGCAAUGACUUGAGCCAGAACCAAUGGCUGAUCUAAGAUGGGGACUUAAACCCUAGGUUCACAGAAGCUUCAUUUUAGGGAUGCUGGAAGCUAUAUUAAUAGUGAUUUGGGGUUUCUUUCCUAAAUACUGCUCUUUAGUAACAAGUGUUGAAGUAGGCAAUCUCCAUUUUGACCUUGGAGAAGGCUAAUUCACACAGCAGCAGUUGCUUCUUGACAUCAUCUAAUGCAUGGGAGUACUGGGAGAGAGAAAGCAACCAGGCAGAAGGAUUAAUUGCUACCCUUGGUCCCUAAUAAAUCUAAGUUGCUUUCUGUUGAAAGCAACAUGUUAGCACCUCCAACAUACUUUUUAUUGUUGUUAGUUUCACCGUCAGUUACAAUGAUGAAGCACCAUGGAAGUGGCUUUAUGGCUAUUAAC
RNAcentral lists this long non-coding RNA (5975 nucleotides) under Homo sapiens (human). RNAcentral describes it as "HSALNT0055546". Lineage: Eukaryota; Metazoa; Chordata; Mammalia; Primates; Hominidae. The record is from RNAcentral.